This is a long non-coding RNA of Aquila chrysaetos chrysaetos, 365 nucleotides long. RefSeq lists it as uncharacterized. NCBI's taxonomy places the organism in Eukaryota, Metazoa, Chordata, Aves, Accipitriformes, Accipitridae. The record is from RefSeq and is a predicted model, not a curated record. The transcript has 4 exons.
GGAAUUAAAAUGGAGGCUGCAAUGAUAUGACUUCAAUUUAAUAGAGUUGAGCACUCAGAAACUCUGCUUUUCCAUAAGAAGCAUGUCUCCACGGCAUAGACUCUCAAGAUCUCAACUUUCCCACUCGUUUAUUGGAAGAAGGUACCAUCUGUAAAGGAAUUAAUUUUUCUUCACUGCACCAGACUGGCUGUUUAAAGUCUGUGAUAGCAGACUGGGAAGCAGGAGAAAGAUGCUUUCUCUGAAGGUCUCAGCAACAACAUUUCCCUUGAUUCUCUCCUGCCCACAAGAUACCGCUUUCUGGAAUAAUAAUUUUGUGGCUUCCACCAGCAGACACAUAGGCUAUUGCUUCCAAUCUCUCAUCUAAA